Molecule: ribosomal RNA, 482 nt
Filed under: uncultured bacterium
Lineage: Bacteria
Description: partial 16S ribosomal RNA
Rfam family: Bacterial small subunit ribosomal RNA
Source: RNAcentral
AUUGAACGCUGGCGGCAUGCCUUACACAUGCAAAUCGAACGGUAACGGGCCUUCGGGUGCCGACGAGUGGCGAACGGGUGCGUAAUACAUCGGAACGUGCCCGAUCGUGGGGGAUAACGAGGCGAAAGCUUUGCUAAUACCGCAUACGAUCUACGGAUGAAAGCAGGGGACCGCAAGGCCUUGCGCGGACGGAGCGGCCGAUGGCAGAUUAGGUAGUUGGUGGGAUAAAAGCUUACCAAGCCGACGAUCUGUAGCUGGUCUGAGAGGAUGAUCAGCCAGACUGGGACUGAGACACGGCCCAGACUCCUACGGGAGGCAGCAGUGGGGAAUUUUGGACAAUGGGCGCAAGCCUGAUCCAGCCAUGCCGCGUGCAGGAUGAAGGCCUUCGGGUUGUAAACUGAUUUUGUACGGAACGAAAAGCCUUCUUUUAAUACAGGAGGGUCAUGACGGUACCGUAAGAAUAAGCACCGGCUAACUACGUG